This 80-nucleotide transfer RNA is filed under the name Cercophora samala. It matches the Rfam family "tRNA". From Rfam's summary of the family: Transfer RNA (tRNA) molecules are approximately 80 nucleotides in length. Lineage: Eukaryota; Fungi; Ascomycota; Sordariomycetes; Sordariales; Lasiosphaeriaceae. The record is from Rfam by way of RNAcentral. RNAcentral also lists the same sequence under 1 other name.
UCUUCCAUAGUAUAGUGGUCAGUAUGUGAGCUUGUCACCCAACAACGCUCGAGACCCGGGUUCAAUUCCCGGUGGGAGAG